GACAUGAGCAGGGGCAGAGGAAGAGGCAGGCAUGGAGGUUCCUGAUAAGAAAGCUUUGAAGAGGGUGAGAGCUUGUUUGGGUCUAUGCAAAGGGACUUCAUGUCCAGCUCCCCUCACUGAUACAAACUUCAGUCCUUCAUACUCUUGGGUCCAUCCUCCUACCUGUUCAUUUCAUUUCCCACUUUAUUACUGCCUUAUCUAAUAUUGCUACUUAAUUUUUUCAAUUUAUCAAACAACACCUCUUGAAGUAUCUAUUCUACAUCUGUUUCAUUCGAUGUCUAUUAGAAGAGUGUGUAAAUGUCUUAUAUUCCCAACCUCUUGUACCUGAGUAUGACUUGUGUAUAGACAUGUAUAUAUAUAAUUAGACUCUCUAACUUACUAUUUAACUUUUGUGGUUGGAUUUAAGUUUCUUUAUUUUUAACUGUUAUUGUGGUAAUGAAUCAAAUCCAAGUAUUGCAAGGUAAGUUACCUGGCCAUCAUCAUACCAGGCACGCCAUGGUUUCAUAGUUGCAAGCUUGAGAGCAUCUAUACUGUAGCGGGUGGAUGUAAUUGGGAUUACAGCAUCUGUGUCACCACUGUCAUGGAAGGAGAAUGAAACAAAGAAAUAAGAAAAAAAUGGCUCCGGUCAAUUAAAUGAAAAUAUACAUCCUAUAAUCUAAAUUAUUAAAAGAUAAAAUAGUUGUUUUUACAGGUAAAAGUACCAUGGAGGCCCUUGUAGAGACAAAUUGCAUUUGGCCCCCUCUACUAAAAAAUGGACAAAUUCCUUGUACAUUAGAUCAAAAAGCAAAUUGGUCAUUUCUGUUAAAAUUUUGAUCCAUUUGUCUUGUUAAAAGUUGAUGUGGCUGACAGAAUAACCAUACAGUGACAUGUGGCGUCUUACAUGUACCCCAUAGUAACGUAAAGGGACCAAUUUUUAACAGUAGAAAUGAAUAAAAUUUUUAAUAGGAGGACCAGUUUGCUCUUUAAUCUAGCGUAUAAAGAUUAAUCUACCAAUUUUUUGAGUAGAGGGAACAAAAUGCAAUCUAACUUCUAGUACAGAGGCCUCCAUUGUACUUUUACCAUUUUUACAUGAAAAAACACAAAUGGAUUAAUAUUGAUGCUAAUCUUUUGGGAAUCUAGAGUUUAGCUUAGCUGAUUCAAGCAAAUACUUUUAAGAUGUAACAUUCCAUUAGCAAAUUUAUUUAAUGAUAAAGAUUAGAACUCGCACUAUAAUCAUAUGAUAAUGCGUAAUACUGAAAUAGCAAAUUUGUUAACAUUUUAAGACUAAAACUGCAAAUUAUCACUAUAAUUAGAACCUAAACAUAAAUCUAUCAUUCAAAAUGAAACAAAUAAUAACAUUGUGAUUAGCAGCCUGAAAUUAAAUAGAUUUUACCAUUGGCAGUCUUCUAGAUAGAAAGGUAUGCAACGUUGAACUCCUCUAAUAAAUGAAAAAUUACUUAUAUUGAUAAGUUAACCCCACAGCUUAUAUAGCUAAGUGUAUUAGCAGGAAAACUUUUCUUCUACAAAAGAACCAUAGCUUGGAAAUAUGGGAAGGGCUGGUAUUCGAACUCCAAACCUCUUGAAAGCCACCACUUAAGGGUGGUCACAUAAGCCCUAAAAACCAUGGUCUCUUGGUGGAGACACUUCCCAUCAGCCUUUCAUCUGGUAAUAGUUGGAUAUGUCCUAUUAUUCCCUCUAUCCAAUCUCAAACAGACUUUUCUUUAGAGCCUAUCUCAUUAAUUCCAAAUUGACAUUAUUACCCCUGUUACUCAGCCUCUUCAUUUUCCUUAAGGUAUUUGUGUCAGACACAUUCUCGAAUGUGGGUAUGGGAUAUGGUCCCCUAAAUAUACAAAAACCUAGAAAAAUAUUGAACAUAUCCGUCUCGGGAACUUACUUGUGUCCAACACUCGAUUCAAAUCAGGAAAACGCAAAAUAUUACUGUACUAAGGAAAGUUUGACCAUCAAGUUUGUCCAUAGUGUUCUAUUUUUUUCAUUCUCUAAUCCUAUAUUUUCUAGUUUCAAAUGGUAAAGCAAAGAUGGUUGACCUCUUGUUACCCAAUUCAAAAACAUGCUAGCUAUAUAGAAAAACAUCGUUACAAAUUUAGAGAUAAACCUGAAUAUCCAUAUGCGAAGUCCUUCAUGUAUAAGCUCACGGUAAACAUCCAGCAUCGUUAUUGGAGAAUCCUUCCAGUUGGUAUUUACGAUAUCACUGCAAUAAUGAAAAAGGAAGAAAGGAAAGAAAAUAUACGUCUACAUGUGACUUCUGAGGCAAGAAAAUGGAUAAACAGAAAUGUUGCCAAGUAAAAGAUGAUUUGAGUUUACACAGGGAUGUAAAUUUUGGUGGUCACAAAUUCAUUUUAUAAGGGCAAUUGAUGCUGCAUCAAUGAUGCAUCCUUUGAAAAGAAUAGAAUAAGUUUCAUGUAGGGAUAAAGCUAGAUGGUCAGGUGGUCUGGUUACAGUUGGUAAAUGACAGAAUUUGAGUAUACAGAAAUAGCGUACAUACCUGCACGUCUCCCAUUUAGAUGGUGCAGCUUCGGGUAAAACAUGAAGUGACUUUUGAACCUCAGGUAGAUUGAAGUAUACUUCUGAGUGCUUCUCAGUGCAAGGAUCGUACUUUUCACUGAGCUGGCUAACCAUCUGUUGGAUAAUAUCAAUUUUCCUUAAUAUGAUUACAUAUAAAAUAUCAAAUACCCUCAAAUUAAGUGGAAAUUAAACAACCAGGCCUUUUAUAAAUUUUGAUAUCUGGUUAAUUCUUGUGAUUGUUCUGGCCAAUGAGUUCUCCAGACCAUGAACCCUAUGACAGCUUAAAGGAGCUUCCGUUUGGAGAUAAAAAUCACAAAUAUAGAAGAGAGUUAUUAGAUCUCGAUCAACUGUUACCAAAAAUAUAGGUAUGAUGAUUGAUAUAUAUGGCAUAGUUUAACUGGAAUGCUGUCAAAACUUAUUAUACCUAAAGUUAAAUUAAUUAUAUCUUUUGACUGGUUUAAGAAGAGGGAAAAAGAUGCUUAAAAUUUAAAGAUUUAGAAGUAUGUAAUCUGUGUACUCACAAGCCUUCUUUUCAGCAGCCACUUCGUCUGACUAGCAUUCGCAGAGCAGGAGGGAGUGAAGAUGCUGUAUGGGUCAAUAUUUCCCAUUUCUUCACUUGCAAGGUCCAUCAUCUCAUUACAGGCACUUGAGGAGUGAACAAAUGACUCAAAAUCACAAAGUACAUUC
RNAcentral lists this long non-coding RNA (3189 nucleotides) under Gossypium barbadense (sea-island cotton). Its description in RNAcentral is "long non-coding RNA (GBAR_LNC003142)". The stretch from base 800 to 944 matches the Rfam family "MIR7502 microRNA precursor family". Lineage: Eukaryota; Viridiplantae; Streptophyta; Magnoliopsida; Malvales; Malvaceae. The record is from RNAcentral.